Molecule: ribosomal RNA, 216 nt
Filed under: Glomeromycotina sp.
Lineage: Eukaryota; Fungi; Glomeromycota
Description: partial small subunit ribosomal RNA
Rfam family: Eukaryotic small subunit ribosomal RNA (bases 46-216)
Source: RNAcentral
GGGUCAGUAGGUUGGUCGUGCCACCGGUACGUACUGGUCUCACCGAUUCCUCCUUCCUGAAGAACCGUAAUGCCAUUAAUUUGGUGUUGCGGGGAAACAGGACUGUUACUUUGAAAAAAUUAGAGUGUUUAAAGCAAGCUAACGCUUGAAUACAUUAGCAUGGAAUAGUGAAAUAGGACGAUCGAUCCUAUUUUGUUGGUUUCUAGGAUUGACGUA